Molecule: ribosomal RNA, 254 nt
Filed under: uncultured bacterium
Lineage: Bacteria
Description: partial 16S ribosomal RNA
Rfam family: Bacterial small subunit ribosomal RNA
Source: RNAcentral
UACGUAGGGUCCGAGCGUUGUCCGGAUUUAUUGGGCGUAAAGAGCUCGUAGGCGGUUCCGUAAGUCAGAUGUGAAAACUCAGGGCUCAACCCGGAGACGCCAUCUGAUACUGCGGUGACUGGAGUCUGGUAGGGGAACACGGAAUUCCUGGUGUAGCGGUGAAAUGCGCAGAUAUCAGGAGGAACACCUAUUGCGAAGGCAGCUCGCUGGGACGUAACUGACGCUGAGACGCGAAAGCGUGGGGAGCAAACAGG